Molecule: ribosomal RNA, 635 nt
Filed under: Phyllachora subcircinans
Lineage: Eukaryota; Fungi; Ascomycota; Sordariomycetes; Phyllachorales; Phyllachoraceae
Description: eukaryotic LSU rRNA
Rfam family: 5.8S ribosomal RNA (bases 279-435)
Source: RNAcentral
UCUUCCGCUUGGUGAACCAGCGGAGGGAUCAUUACCGUGACAGUAGGACCCCCUAUGCCCUCGGGUGUGGGGGGCGACCGUCUCUUCCCGCGAGAACCCCAGCCCCCAUAGGGCCGUGGCCGCCGGGAGGCUAUGCCAGCCGGACGAACCGCCGCGCUGGUUUGCCCCUCUCGGCGCGAGCCCCGGAUCCCCCCCCCCCCCUUCAUACCUUUCCUACUUUUGAGACCCUUUGAGGAUUUGAUUCCCCAACCCCUCGUUAGAGGAAAGGAUUAUGUCACAACUUUCAGCAACGGAUCUCUUGGCUCCGGUAACGAUGAAGGACGCAGCGAAAUGCGAUACGCAGUGCGAAUUGCAGAUCUCCGCGAGUCAUCGGAUCUCUGAACGCACAUGGCGCCCGCCGGGUUUCCCCGGCGGGCACGCCCGUCCGGAGCGGCCUCUUCCCCUCUCCGUGGUUCUUUGGGAGCCCGGGUGUUGGGUGCCCGCGGCUGCUCGCGGGCGCCCCAAAUUCAGCGGCGGCAGCCCCCGCGGAUAUUCCCUUGGCGAAGCAGUAUCUCUGGCGCCUCGGGACGUGGUAGGCAGCCUCCCCAGAACCAUGAAAAAGGGCCCUCGGAUCGGGCGGGACGACCCGCUGGAAC